RNAcentral lists this ribosomal RNA (631 nucleotides) under Entoloma sericeum. RNAcentral describes it as "SSU rRNA". It matches the Rfam family "Bacterial small subunit ribosomal RNA", at positions 348 to 963 of the family's 1533-position model. Lineage: Eukaryota; Fungi; Basidiomycota; Agaricomycetes; Agaricales; Entolomataceae. The record is from RNAcentral.
UCAGCAGUCCAAGAAUAUUAGUCAAUGCUCGCAAGAGUGAACUAGCUAACUGAAAUCACAGGAUCCACUACGUGUGGUGAAUGUUAUAACGUAAGGGAAAAAAAUGAUAUUACCUUACUAUUAGUGUUGUCCAAAACUGGUGCCAGAAGACUCGGUAAGGCCAGAGACGCAAACGUUAGUCGUCCUAAUCAGGCGUAAAGGGUAAGUAGGCUGCUUUAAAAGUUUAGUAUAAUAUUUUAAUAGCUCUGUUUAAAUAAAAUAAAUAUCAUUUAUUUAACAGUAAAAUAUACAAUGAAUUAAAGCUAGGAUCAAAUUGAGGAUAAUUUAAAUAAUACUUAGUGUAGGGUUUACAUCUGGUGAUACUAAGGGGAGUACUAACGGUGAAAGCUUUUUAUCUAGAAAUGAUUGACGCUGAGGAACGAAGGUGAGAAUAGGAAAUAGGAUUAGAUACCCAGAUACCUCUCACAGUCAACGAUGAAUGGUGGUUGUUAGUUAGUUUUAUUUAACUGAUAACGAUGUUAACACGAUAACCAUUCCGCCUUGCGAGUACGGUUGCAAAACUGAAACCAAAAAAAUUAGUCGGUCUCGAAGCAAACGAAGUGAAGCAUGUUAUUUAAUUCGAUAAUCCGCA